AGCGGGGGCUUCGGCCUGCCGGCGAGUGGCGAACGGGUGAGUAAUGCAUCGGAACGUACCCAGUCAUGGGGGAUAACUACGCGAAAGCGUAGCUAAUACCGCAUACGCCCUGAGGGGGAAAGCGGGGGACCGCAAGGCCUCGCGUGAUUGGAGCGGCCGAUGUCGGAUUAGCUAGUUGGUGGGGUAAAGGCCUACCAAGGCGACGAUCCGUAGCGGGUCUGAGAGGAUGAUCCGCCACACUGGGACUGAGACACGGCCCAGACUCCUACGGGAGGCAGCAGUGGGGAAUUUUGGACAAUGGGGGCAACCCUGAUCCAGCCAUGCCGCGUGAGUGAAGAAGGCCUUCGGGUUGUAAAGCUCUUUCAGACGGAAAGAAAUCGGGUGGGUGAAUAUCCUGCCUGGAUGACGGUACUGUCAGAAGAAGCACCGGCUAACUACGUGCCAGCAGCCGCGGUAAUACGUAGGGUGCGAGCGUUAAUCGGAAUUACUGGGCGUAAAGCGUGCGCAGGCGGUUGUGUAAGACAGGUGUGAAAUCCCCGGGCUUAACCUGAGAACUGCGCUUGUGACUGCACGGCUAGAGUACGGCAGAGGGGGGUGGAAUUCCACGUGUAGCAGUGAAAUGCGUAGAUAUGUGGAGGAACACCGAUGGCGAAGGCAGCCCCCUGGGCCGAUACUGACGCUCAUGCACGAAAG
This 693-nucleotide ribosomal RNA is filed under the name uncultured bacterium. RNAcentral describes it as "bacterial SSU rRNA". It matches the Rfam family "Bacterial small subunit ribosomal RNA", at positions 70 to 759 of the family's 1533-position model. The record is from RNAcentral.